This is a non-coding RNA of Phasianus colchicus (ring-necked pheasant), 1263 nucleotides long. The record is from RefSeq and is a predicted model, not a curated record. NCBI's taxonomy places the organism in Eukaryota, Metazoa, Chordata, Aves, Galliformes, Phasianidae.
CUUAAUGAGACAGAAUAGCAUGCCCAGUUCGAAAUAGAAUUCUUAACAAAAGCUCAAGGCAAGCUUGAGAGUCCAGCAGAGAGCAAGAAGAGUUGUAUGAGUUCUAGAAAUCUUGAGAGGAAUGACUAAAAGAAUUCUCUUUCUCUACCUCAAGUAGAGAAAGAGAAAAGCCAGGGAGAACACGACAGCAGCAGUGAGCAUCUGUCUGCCGUGUCCACCAAGAAAGGAACAGGCAGGAUAGAUGCUCAACUUGCAGCAAGGGAAGUGGAAGUUUGCUUUUUGCAGAGUAAUAUCCAAUCCUCUCCUACUCCUUCCUGCCAAAUGUUAAGGACAACCACGUACUUGAAUGGCUGGUGAUGGGAUUGCUGAAUGCAGUGCUCAGCAACCAGUUGUUUUACUUAAUUAAUGCAAAUUUAAUAGCCAGAUACAUAUGACUUUUUUAGAAUAACUAAUAAAUACCAUUUUGUGUAUGAGAGGUCACUAUCCUGCCAUCUAUUUGACAGGAGUCUCUCUGGUAACAAAGUUAAAUAUUCCAAAACAAUGCUCUCUGAAUACAGAUAUAAUCUACUGGCAGUGUUCUCAAAAAAAGCACCCAUACAACAGAGGACACUGUUGUGCACAACACAGGGAGUUUAAGAUGGAAAAAUGAAUGGAGUGUGUGUAGCAGUAACAGUAAAACAGGAACUCAUACUGGCAUGACUCACUGACCUCAGGUUUCAGUCUAGCAUUUACAAUGGACUUGAAGCAAAUGGCUUGAAACAUGCAAGAAUAGUGUUAGAACAGGAUCUGGAAUCUUCACAUUGUGACUUCUACCCCGUGCAGCAGACACGGCCUCUUCUCUAGGACAGAGAAGUACAUUAAGUCUUUCAUCUGAGGGUCAGAAUCUCUUUGCUGCUCUUCCUCCGCCCACACAGGAACACAUUAUCAUUCCUUGAAGGCUGCAAACCGCACACAGGGACUCAGAUCACAUGACAGGUGCCAUUCCGUUCUGUGGACCUACAUACUAAAUGCCACAUGAAGAAUCUCACUUCCCACCCAAACAGGGGCACAGAGGAUGUCAGGCACCUCACAGUGAAAUGGCAAGAACCAUAUUUUUGCUUGAAGUAACCAAAGAAUCAAACAAUAAGGCACAAACAAACAUUUGAGAUAGCUAGUCCUACUACAGUCUUUAAGAUGCAACCUGAGCAGACUUGUCACCAGAAAUCGCUUCUACGCCUGAAUGCAGCUGAAGAUUUCCUAGGAUAUAAAUGCUUCUGCUACCAA